Molecule: ribosomal RNA, 253 nt
Filed under: uncultured bacterium
Lineage: Bacteria
Description: partial 16S ribosomal RNA
Rfam family: Bacterial small subunit ribosomal RNA
Source: RNAcentral
UACGUAGGGGGCAAGCGUUGUUCGGAUUCAUUGGGCGUAAAGGGUGCGUAGGCGGCGCGGUAAGUCGGGUGUGAAAUCUCGGAGCUUAACUCCGAAACUGCAUUCGAUACUGUCGUGCUUGAGGACUGGAGAGGAGACUGGAAUUUACGGUGUAGCGGUGAAAUGCGUAGAUAUCGUAAGGAAGACCAGUGGCGAAGGCGGGUCUCUGGACAGUUCCUGACGCUGAGGCACGAAGGCCAGGGGAGCAAACGGG